This 844-nucleotide ribosomal RNA is filed under the name uncultured Chloroflexota bacterium. Its description in RNAcentral is "bacterial SSU rRNA". It matches the Rfam family "Bacterial small subunit ribosomal RNA", at positions 28 to 895 of the family's 1533-position model. The record is from RNAcentral. Lineage: Bacteria; Bacillati; Chloroflexota.
GAUGAACGCUAGCGGCGUGCUUUAUGCAUGCAAGUCGAACGGUCCUUCCCGCAAGGGAAGGAUAGUGGCGAACGGGUGAGUAACGCGUAAGUAACCUGCCCUUAAGUGGGGGAUAACUCUGGGAAACCGGAGCUAAUACCGCGGUGGUGGCAGGAGAUAUCCUGUCAUUAAAGCCUUCGGGCGCUUAAGGAGGGGCUUGCGUCCGAUUAGCUAGUUGGUAGGGUAAUGGCUUACCAAGGCGAUGAUCGGUAGCUGGUUUGAGAGGACGGUCAGCCACACUGGGACUGAGAUACGGCCCAGACUCCUACGGGAGGCAGCAGCAAGGAAUUUUGUGCAAUGGGCGAAAGCCUGACACAGCGACGCCGCAUGGGGGAUGAAGGCCUUCGGGUCGUAAACCCCUUUUCUCAGGGAAGAAUAAUGACGGUACCUGAGGAAUAAGCCUCGGCUAACUACGUGCCAGCAGCCGCGGUAAUACGUAGGAGGCGAGCGUUAUCCGGAUUUAUUGGGCGUAAAGAGGGCGUAGGCGGCUUUUCAAGUCGGAUGUAAAAUCUCCCGGCUCAACUGGGAGGGAUCAUUCGAUACUGCUGAGCUAGAGGGCAGCAGAGGGAGGUGGAAUUCCCGGUGUAGUGGUGAUAUGCGUAGAUAUCGGGAGGAACACCAGUGGCGAAGGCGGCCUCCUGGGCUGUUCCUGACGCUGAGGCCCGAAAGCGUGGGUAGCGAACAGGAUUAGAUACCCUGGUAGUCCACGCUAUCAACGAUGGAUACUAGGUAUGGGGAGUAUCGACCCUCUCCGUGCCGAAGCUAACGCUUUAAGUAUCCCGCCUGGGGAGACGGCCGCAAGGCU